UACGUAGGGGGCAAGCGUUGUCCGGAUUUAUUGGGCGUAAAGGGCUCGCAGGCGGCCUGACUAAGUCAUGCGUGAAAUCUCCCGGCUCAACUGGGAGCGGUCGUGUGAUACUAGUCGGCUUGAGGCCGGUAGGGGAGAGCAGAAUUCCCGGUGUAGUGGUGGAAUGCGUAGAUAUCGGGAGGAAUACCAGAGGCGAAGGCGGCUCUCUGGACCGGUCCUGACGCUCAGGAGCGAAAGCGUGGGUAGCGAUCCGG
Molecule: ribosomal RNA, 254 nt
Filed under: uncultured bacterium
Lineage: Bacteria
Description: partial 16S ribosomal RNA
Rfam family: Bacterial small subunit ribosomal RNA
Source: RNAcentral